Molecule: long non-coding RNA, 1104 nt
Filed under: Piliocolobus tephrosceles (Ugandan red Colobus)
Lineage: Eukaryota; Metazoa; Chordata; Mammalia; Primates; Cercopithecidae
Description: lncRNA (ENSPTEG00000007108.1)
Source: RNAcentral
AAAAAAAAAAAUACUAAUAAGUGUUAUACAAAAUACAUGCUCAAAUGAGAUGCAUUAGCUAGAAGAAUAAACAAAGUGUUAAAAAAAAAAAAAAGCAAAGCCGGUAUUUUUUAUCUUUGCUUAUAAAUUUUUUUUUUUUUUUUUUUUUUUUUUUUUUUUUUUUUGUUAUGUACAUUUCCGAACGUAUACUUUGUUCCUGCCAAUGAAUUUAGUGCGAUUUACGACGAGAAUAAGAAGAUUGCAUUAUACACUACGAAAAUGAAAAACUACGCUAUGUACUAUCAAGAUGAGAAAACAUUAAUGUUUAAAAGGUUUAAAGAAAGUAUAACAGAUUUGUUAAAGAUAAUUAAUGUUUUUUUUAUGAUCGGUAAAUUGGAAUUAAAUGAAUUUAUACGAUUAGUUCUAAUUUUAUAUGAAAAAAAAUUUCAUAGUUUAAAUGAAGUUUGUAAAAUAUGUAUAACAUAUCCUGAUUUGAUAUGUAGAGAGAAUUAUAAUUUGAUUAACGAUGACUCGAAAGAUUUGUUUUUAUUGUUAGAUGAUACUCAUCCAUUUAAAAAUGAUACAAAUACAAAUAAUCGAAUUAUUAUACUUAAUGAAAGUAAACUGCUGCAUAAAAUUUUAUCGGACCCGGUAUUAAUUGAAUUUAAUAUAAUAAUUAUAACAAAUGUACAUAAAAGAUUUUUAAAAACAGAUUUACUUUUGGCACUAUUAAAAAGGAUCCUUAUAAAAAGAAGCGAUUUGUAUGUCUUUCUCUUUUCAGACUUUUUUAUUGAAAAUGUGCUUCAUUUUUUUGAUUCCUAUAAUAGUGCUUUUUUUAGCGAGUACAAUAGGGACCGGCAUGGUGACCGGGAUAGUGAUACGAAAGAAACAAAACGGCGCAGGUCGAGUAUGACUACACAAAAUAACAAAAAAAUGGACACAAUUACAACAGCAUUCGCUGAAUUUACAAAUGGUGAAAAAAAGAUACCAGUGUUGGAAAAGAACGAAGAAGAAUCGGAUAAAGCGAGAGAAUCGGAAAAAGAGGAAUAUUCGGAUAAAGCAAGAGAAUCGGAUAAAGCGAGAGAAUCGGAAAAAGAGGAAUAUUCGGAUAAAGCAAGAGAAUCG